UUAAGACAUGCAAGUCGUACGGACGACCCAAUUGAGUAAUCAAGAGGGAAGUUAGUGGCGAAAGGGUGAGUAAUGCAUAGGUAACGUACCCCGGACUCUGGGAUAGCUGCGGAACUUUUAGUUCCUUUGCGAAAGUGCAGGUAAUACCGGAUGAUAUCGCGAAUCCGAAUGGUAACGCGAUCAAAGGUUUACUGGUCUGGGAGCGGCCUAUGUCGUAUCAGCUUGUUGGUGAGGUAACGGCUCACCAAGGCUUCGACGCGUAGCGGGACUGAGAGGUUGGCCCGCCACAUCGGGACUGAGACACUGCCCGGACCUCCACGGAGGGCUGCAGUAACGAAUAUUGCGCAAUGAGCGAAAGCUUGACGCAGCAAUGCCGCGUGUAGGAUGAAGCCCCUCGGGGUGUAAACUACUGACAGGGUGAAGAAAGGCGAAAGCUUGAUCGAUCCCAGAGGAAGGACCGGCUAACUUCGUGCCAGCAGCCGCGGUAAUACGAAGGGUCCUAGCGUUGUUCGGAAUUAUUGGGCUUAAAGCGCAUGUAGGCGGAUAGUUAAGUGUCUUGUGAAAUCCCCCGGCUCAACCGGGGAACUGCUGGGCAUACUGGCUAUCUUGAGGCAAGUAGGGGUGUAUGGAACUCUAGGUGGAGCGGUGGAAUGCGUAGAUAUCUAGAGGAACGCCGGUGGUGAAAACAGUACACUGGGCUUGUUCUGACGCUGAGGUGCGAAAGCGUGGGUAGCGAACGGGAUUAGAUACCCCGGUAGUCCACGCCGUAAACGAUGUCUACUAGGUUGUGGUGGGUCUGACCCUGGCACAGCCGAAGCAAAAGUGUUAAGUAGACCGCCUGGGGAGUACGGUCGCAAGGCUAAAACUCAAAGGAAUUGACGGGUGCUCACACAAGCGGUGGAGCAUGUGGCUUAAUUCGAAUCAACGCGAAGAACCUUAUCCUGGAUUUGACAUGUUUGGAUGCCCUUGGUGAAAGCCAAGUAAGCUGCCUUCGGGUGAAACUUACACAGGUGCUGCAUGGCUGUCGUCAGCUCGUGUCGUGAGAUGUUGGGUUAUGUCCCUUAACGAGCGAAACCCCUAUCGUUAGUUACCAGCGCGUUAUGGCGGGGACUCUAGCGAGACUGCCGGUGUUAAAUCGGAGGAAGGUGGGGAUGACGUCAAGUCCUCAUGGCCUUUAUGUCCAGGGCUGCACACGUGCUACAAUGGCAACUACAAACCGACGCGAGACCGCGAGGUGGGGCAAAUCGGAAAAAAGUUGCCUCAGUUCGGAUUGCAGGCUGCAACUCGCCUGCAUGAAGUUGGAAUCGCUAGUAAUCGCGGAUCAGCAUGCCGCGGUGAAUAUGUUCCUGAGCAUUGUACACACCGCCCGUCAAGUCACGGAAGCUGGGAGUACCUGAAGUCGGGUAGCUAACUUUUUAAGAGGCGCCUGCCGAUGGUAAGCUCGGUAACUGGGGCUAAGUCGAAACAAGGUA
Molecule: ribosomal RNA, 1472 nt
Filed under: metagenome
Description: bacterial SSU rRNA
Rfam family: Bacterial small subunit ribosomal RNA
Source: RNAcentral